This 433-nucleotide ribosomal RNA is filed under the name uncultured bacterium. RNAcentral's name for it is "partial 16S ribosomal RNA". It matches the Rfam family "Bacterial small subunit ribosomal RNA", at positions 29 to 507 of the family's 1533-position model. The record is from RNAcentral.
AACGAACGCUGGCGGCAUGCCUAACACAUGCAAGUCGAACGAGACCUUCGGGUCUAGUGGCGCACGGGUGCGUAACGCGUGGGAACCUGCCCUUAGGUUCGGAAUAACUCCCCGAAAGGGAUGCUAAUACCGGAUAAUGUCUUCGGACCAAAGAUUUAUCGCCUUUGGAUGGGCCCGCGUUGGAUUAGCUAGUUGGUAGGGUAAAAGCCUACCAAGGCGACGAUCCAUAGCUGGUCUGAGAGGAUGAUCAGCCACACUGGGACUGAGACACGGCCCAGACUCCUACGGGAGGCAGCAGUGGGGAAUAUUGGACAAUGGGCGAAGGCCUGAUCCAGCAAUGCCGCGUGAGUGAUGAAGGCCUUAGGGUUGUAAAGCUCUUUUACCCGGGAUGAUAAUGACAGUACCGGGAGAAUAAGCGCCGGCUAACUCCGUG